Molecule: long non-coding RNA, 630 nt
Filed under: Bemisia tabaci
Lineage: Eukaryota; Metazoa; Arthropoda; Insecta; Hemiptera; Aleyrodidae
Description: lncRNA ENSSSA3NGG004983
Source: RNAcentral
CCCCCCCCCUUUCCUUCUUGCCGCGCGGCGGUGCCCAAUCCCUCCCGUUCCCUCGUCACGGCCGCAGUCUGCGUUCACUCUUCGUUCCAAGCGGAAUCCUCGCGUCGCGGUCCUAGUGCGUGUUGUGUGUGUUAUAACCUCUCACUUUUGGAUUACUACUUGGGUUUAACCCGCUUUCAGUUGGAUUUAAACUUAUUCUCCGCUUAUAAUACUUCUGGUUGAUAGCUGGAAGCAAUCGCUAGCACACAGCUAUUCUAAGACAAUAUGCUCAUGACUCUGUGGAGUUUUCUCUAGAAGUAACAACCUUUCAACUAUCACCAUGUAAGUAAACUGAAAUCUCUAUCAGGUAUAUAUGUGGCAUUUUAAUGCCUAAUUUGGCUGGCUCAGCUGCAUAGAACAUGGUAAAAUGAUAGAACAAAAAUCGAGCAACAAGGGGAAAAAAUAUAUUGAACAAGUAAUAUUUCAAACUACAUAGAGAUGAGAAAUAAUAAAAAAACUUACUAGAAACAAAACAAACGUUUCGACCGCCAACGAAAUGCGGUCUCCUUCAGUGCAACAAGUAAAAACAUUUACCUAAAAAAUUAAAAAAUAUUAAAAAGCUACAAAACUACUAGCAAAGUAAGUAAAGCG